GAAAUGCGAUAAUUAAUGUGAAUUGCAGAAUUCAGUGAAUCAUCGAGUCUUUGAACGCACAUUGCGCCCCCUGGUAUUCCGGGGGGAAUGCCUGUCCGAGCGUCAUUGCUGCCCUCAAGCACGGCUUGUGUGUUGGGCUUCCGUCCCUGGCAACGGGGACGGGCCCAAAAGGCAGUGGCGGCACCAUGUCUGGUCCUCGAGCGUAUGGGGCUUUGUCACCCGCUCCCGUAGGUCCAGCUGGCAGCUAGCCUCGCAACCAAUCUUUUUAACCAGGUUGACCUCGGAUCAGGUAGGGAUACCCGCUGAACUUAAGC
This 314-nucleotide unclassified non-coding RNA is filed under the name plant metagenome. Its description in RNAcentral is "partial contains 5.8S ribosomal RNA, internal transcribed spacer 2, and large subunit ribosomal RNA". The stretch from base 1 to 105 matches the Rfam family "5.8S ribosomal RNA", at positions 50 to 154 of the family's 154-position model. The record is from RNAcentral.